RNAcentral lists this ribosomal RNA (250 nucleotides) under uncultured prokaryote. Its description in RNAcentral is "partial 16S ribosomal RNA". It matches the Rfam family "Bacterial small subunit ribosomal RNA", at positions 524 to 773 of the family's 1533-position model. The record is from RNAcentral.
UACGUAGGGGGCAAGCGUUAUCCGGAUUUACUGGGUGUAAAGGGAGCGCAGACGGAACAGCAAGUCUGAUGUGAAAUCCCGGGGCUCACCCCCGGGACUGCAUUGGAAACUACUGUUCUGGAGUACUGGAGGGGUAAGCGGAAUUCCUGGUGUAGCGGUGAAAUGCGUAGAUAUCAGGAGGAACACCGGUGGCGAAGGCGGCUUACUGGACAGUAACUGACGUUGAGGCUCGAAAGCGUGGGGAGCAAAC